GAGGUCAGGCUGAAGACCUUACCCGAUUAGCUGAGAGGUGUGCAUGGCCGUCGUCAGUUCGUACUGUGAAGCAUCCUGUUAAGUCAGGCAACGAGCGAGACCCACGUCCACAGUUGCCAGCAUACCCUCCGGGGUGAUGGGUACACUGUGGAGACCGCCGCUGCUAAAGCGGAGGAAGGAGUGGGCAACGGUAGGUCAGUAUGCCCCGAAUCUCCCGGGCUACACGCGGGCUACAAUGGUUGGUACAAUGGGCAUCUACCCCGAAAGGGGAAGGAAAUCUCUUAAAGCCAAUCGUAGUUCGGAUUGAGGGCUGCAACUCGCCCUCAUGAAGCUGGAAUCCGUAGUAAUCGCGUUUCAACAGAACGCGGUGAAUACGUCCCUGCUCCUU
This 388-nucleotide ribosomal RNA is filed under the name uncultured Methanosaeta sp. RNAcentral describes it as "bacterial SSU rRNA". It matches the Rfam family "Archaeal small subunit ribosomal RNA", at positions 950 to 1338 of the family's 1478-position model. The record is from RNAcentral. Lineage: Archaea; Methanobacteriati; Methanobacteriota; Methanomicrobia; Methanotrichales; Methanotrichaceae.